Molecule: long non-coding RNA, 760 nt
Organism: Motacilla alba alba
Lineage: Eukaryota; Metazoa; Chordata; Aves; Passeriformes; Motacillidae
Exons: 3
Source: RefSeq, a predicted model, not a curated record
UGAAGUUCCACAGCUGGAUGUGAAGCAUUUAGAGACAGCCAGUGACAAUUCCUUCAAGGAUCUGUGCACUGAGGACCCCAGAGUAGGAAAUGCAAAUCUUGAUGUGGCUCUGAACAACUCACAGAGUGCACUUCCAAUUGCCCUCCACAUUCAGUACAGGAGAGGGGCAGACCAAGAGGUAAAGCAGUGAGGCUCUGGUGGCAGAACAACGUGAUUUGAAACCAGCAACUUUGGCUAUUUCUGGAAGAAUGUGUUUCUCCUGCAUGGCACUGGCCAGAUCUGCAUUUUCACACCCAAACUGAGCUGGGUGUGGCUGCUGAGGGCGGAUGAAAAUGCUGACACUGUGAAAACCCAGCGAGUGUUGCAAAGCCCGGAGCUUGGCACAGGCUCUACAGCGCUGCUUCCCUUUGAACUGCAGCCUUCCUUUACAGGUAGUUAAUUAGGAUGAGGUCAUUCCAAGCUCAUGUGAAUAACACUGUCUGAAAUAAUUGCCUGGAUUGCGUUUAAGAUGGAAUACUGAAGGAAUUUGAAUGUUUUAGUUGUACUGUGUGUUAAAUGUAAUGUCAGUCUGCAUUCUUGUAAGAUUUAAUGAGAUUUUCUGAAAUACCAUCACUACCUCAAGGCCUUUUCUGAGGCUAGUGGAGUAUUGUAUACCCUGACUCUCCAAGAUCCUGCAAGACUUAAUUGAUAGGUGCAAAGCUACCUAUUCCCCUCUCCUUUGCCUGGAGAAAUUUGAAUUCCUGUGUGUAUGUGUGUGUGU